UUGCACGCUGGCGGCAUGCUUUACACAUGCAAGUCGCACGGUAACAGGCCUUCGGGUGCUGACGAGUGGCGAACGGGUGAGUAAUGCAUCGGAACGUGCCCAGAGGUGGGGGAUAACGCAGCGAAAGCUGUGCUAAUACCGCAUGUGAUCUGAGGAUGAAAGCGGGGGACCAGGCAGCAAUGUUUGGCCUCGCGCCUUUGGAGCGGCCGAUGUCAGAUUAGGUAGUUGGUGGGGUAAAGGCCUACCAAGCCGACGAUCUGUAGCUGGUCUGAGAGGACGACCAGCCACACUGGGACUGAGACACGGCCCAGACUCCUACGGGAGGCAGCAGUGGGGAAUGUUGGACAAUGGGCGCAAGCCUGAUCCAGCAAUGCCGCGUGCGGGAAGAAGGCCUUCGGGUUGUAAACCGCUUUUGUACGGAACGAAAAGGCUCUGGCUAAUACCUGGGGCUGAUGACGGUACCGUAAGAAUAAGCACCGGCUAACUACGUG
This 491-nucleotide ribosomal RNA is filed under the name uncultured bacterium. Its description in RNAcentral is "partial 16S ribosomal RNA". It matches the Rfam family "Bacterial small subunit ribosomal RNA", at positions 30 to 507 of the family's 1533-position model. The record is from RNAcentral.